Non-coding RNA from Arachis ipaensis, 2761 nucleotides. NCBI's taxonomy places the organism in Eukaryota, Viridiplantae, Streptophyta, Magnoliopsida, Fabales, Fabaceae. The record is from RefSeq and is a predicted model, not a curated record.
CACACAAUUGAGAAAGAAACAGAGAGAGGGAAGAGAUGCUGCUCCGCUGCCGUCGUGACGUAACCACCGAACUGCCGCACUCUGCGCUGUCCAGCACGCCGCCACCGCCGCGUCUCGCCUGUGCCGUCACCUCCCCUGAGCGGUUGCCGUCAUCGCGCAAGAAAGGAGGUGGAGCUCCCGAGGGGUCGUUGAGCCGCUACAGUCGCCGUCGUCUCGGCUGUCCCCACCGCCGUUGGACCCGUCGCACGCGUAGUCGUCCAAGGAGUGUCGCUGACCAUCGCUGCUGCCACUAGGGUUUAUCGCCGUUGCUCUACCUUGCUAUUGCCAUCAGAGCCGCCGCUGAGGAAGGGAGCCCGAACGCCAUCGCUGGGAAGGAGGCUUGGCCGUCGCCGAACAGAAUGCGAUGGUACUGAGAGGCAUCACCGUUGAUGACGCCAAAGCUCGACAAGGGCUGUAGCGCCGUCGCCGAACCACCACGCCACUGUAGCUGUCGCCGGGAAGGUUGUUGGAGCUUGCUGAGGAUACUGUUCUGAUUCUAAAGCAAUUUAUCCAUGUCACUAUUCAUCUUUAUCUCCUGUUUUGCCUCUGCCUCUGAAUUCUGCAAGUUGCCGGAGCCUUCUGUCACCGGGAACCAACAUUCGAGCUGCCCAGGAAACCACAAUUAGAACCACUACUAUUUUGGUAAGCUUCACCCUGUUUUUGAUUCUUCCUUGUCGCCCAAUUUGUCUCUGUUGUGAAGCCUGUCGUUAAGACUGUUUGUAUUAAAUAAAAUUGUCACUUUAAGUUACUCUACACCGCCGCAGCUGCCACCGAGGUCAACAAAAUUGUCUUCUUUAAAUUUCAGAUCCUGCAUAAUUGAUUAGUGAAUGAGCUUUCACGAAUGAUAUUCUUCUCAAAAUAUCAGAGGUUUCUGAUCCCCCUUCCCAGUUUAAAAAAUUAAUGAAUUACUUGAGAUCAGUUUGUGAAUGCUUUCCAGUUAAUAGCUGCAAUAAUUGUUGUCUUUGGAUUCUGGUUAUUACGAUACAAAUCUUGUGCAGGUAGUGCCUAAACUCUGAUGUGUAAUUUUGCUUUCACUUCAAAUAAAGUGGGCUCCAUCUAAUUUUUUUAUCUCCCCUAAUAAGUAUCAUGAAAAGCUUCUCCUAAUGGAAAUUUCGUAUUGUCUUUAGAAAUUAUGUAUAACACACUCAAGUUUUGAAUGAUUCACUACUCAGCCUUUCCAAUAAUCAAUAAUCAUAUAUGUGAAAAGCAUGUGUUAGAAUUCAUGACUUGUUAACUAACUAAGUUUAAAAAAGUUUAGGUUGGAGUUUAUUUUUGGGACAAGUUAGAAUAAUAAUAAUGGUAGAAAUUUAAAAUAAAGGAGCAUGAAAUAGUAAGAUCACGUGACUUGUUCUUUCUUUCUUAUUACUCUUAUAAGGCUUAGCUUUGUAUAUAGUAGUUAUAUACACUAUUAAUUUAUUAUACAGUGUGAACAUAUAAGAAAUUCAUCAUUUCAAAGGUCAACUAAAACCCGUUGUAGUAAUUUAAGUUUAAAUGCUAUAUUAUUUAUCAAUAACAAUACAAAUAGUUAUUAUAAUCUUAUAAGUUGCAUUACUUUCUACUGAAAAAAAAUGUCAGAGUCAGGCAUCAUCUCUUCAGUACAUCACAUGCAAGCUUUCUUGCAUAACAAAUUGGAAGCACGUAAUUUUAUUUCAUAUUUUUAAGAUUUUUAAGAUUUGUGUGUUGUUGCUUGUAUUACAUUGAAAAUAUUGAUAUGGUUAAAUAUUGAUAAGGUAUUGUAUAGUACAUGAAAUAUUGUUUAUGUUGGAUGAUUUAUAGGUACUAAAAAGAUCGAAUUCGUAAGAAAUGUCUUGGCACCAUCGAGGGUAGAUGUAUGAUAGGUUGAAUCCAACAAAAGGGAGUAUUAAACCUGAGUUUUAUGACAAGGUUGAGGAGUUUAUAGAAACGAUUAGUAAGUUAGAUGUUGUGAAGUUGGAAGAAAAGUGUAGAUGCCCAUGUGUUAAGUGUAGAUGCACAAACUAUAAAGAGCUGAACAUUAUUUAGAUGCAUUUGUGGAAAAAGGGGUUUAUGCAUACAAUUGGCAUCAUCCAUAUCCACCCAUUGUUCCAAAAAGAGCUUAAUACUAGAUUAUUUUCUGGUCUUAUAUUAUAUUAUAGUAUCUUUUUUAUGUGCAGAGCCACUUUUUUAUUGAUGAUGAUAAGGAGGAGUUUUUUUAGAGGGUUUUUAAGUAUAGGACAAGUAAGCGAUUUAGCCAAAUGAUGUCGGAUAUCCGUGAGAGUGUGGAUACAAACCACAAAUGGCUAAUUCCUGCUUACAAAAAGGUGUUGGAAAGGUAUUAGGAAACAGAUGAGAAAUGGAAAAAUAUAAGGAAAAAAGCAAGGGAGAAUCGAGCAUCACUUUUAGGUGGUUCUAUCCAUUGCAGUAGUUCUAUUCCAUUGAGCUCAACUAUAGAGAGGAUGAAGAAGUAGUUGGGCCGUACACCAACUCAUGAGGAAGUCUUCAAGAAAACUCACACACUUAAAAAUGACAAGUCUAAAUGGGUAGACAAGCACUCUCAAGACACUCAUGUGAGAUAUAGUAUAAAUAUUAAGUGGAUAGAUUUUUCACUACUACUAUUUAGUUUCUUCUCUGUUACUUAUUAUUAUUAGUAGUAGUUGUUGUGUUUUUUAAUUUUGUUUUUAUAAUAGAAUUACAUCCAAAAACCAGAGUUAUAGUACCUUUGUUUUUUAACAUUUCAAGCAAAAUGAAACUCUAAUUUCUUCCA